GUAGAUUCAGUGGCCACUGAGGUCCAUUCUGGUUCUAAAUAUAUGAUCCAAUUAUAAAUUUUUGGGUUCUUGGAACCAACAGUAUAUUUCAGAUGUAGCCUGAACAAGGAAGAGUAGAGUAAGAUUGUCUCCUCUUUCUUUUAUAUGCUAGACCAGUGAUGACAAACCUUUUAAAGACCAAGUGCCAGGCCCUGCCCUGCCAGAUGGAGUGCCAUGUCCACUCCCUCCCUCAGGGACCACAUACUGGGCAUGUUCCCCCUUACCCUACACAGUGGAGGGAGAAAGUGUUCCCAUUGGGCUGCUGGACAGAGAGUCCUCAUCUGGAGCACUUAUGACUGACCAAACCAUCAGGAAGAAAACUAGAGAGACAAGUGUGAAUAAUGAUGCCAGGUAUGUGGAGAAUCAUAUGUGUCUGUACCUGUAGCUGAAAUUUUCUUUAGAAUCUAAGGAUUCAAAUAGAUGACUUGUUUUGUGUUUCCAAUUCCUUCUUUUUGUGAUUGUGGGUAAUUGAUGUCUGUGCAAUUUAUUGAGAGUCAGCUACAUCUUCCGUCUCUUCCAUAUUCUGCUCUUCUCUCUAUAGCCAAAGCCCUUUUUGAAGUUAGCAGGAGGUUCUUUGAU
RNAcentral lists this long non-coding RNA (618 nucleotides) under Monodelphis domestica (gray short-tailed opossum). RNAcentral's name for it is "lncRNA (ENSMODG00000037790.1)". Lineage: Eukaryota; Metazoa; Chordata; Mammalia; Didelphimorphia; Didelphidae. The record is from RNAcentral.